GGCAACUGUAACCAUAAAGGACUGCCCAGAUGUCGACAUUCGUGAAACAAUCACUUUGCUUGAUGGAACAUCAGAGCUAUCAGAACAAGAGAAAGCGCGUGUUCAGAAUUUGGCCUUUGCAUGGGACCUUCCCAGAGUAACUGAAAAUAACCGAAGAUGGUUAUGUGAAAAAAUGCUUCUUCAUUCUGUCAUUGGACGCACCACCAGACAAGUGAAGCAACUGCGCAAGGGUCUAAAAGAGACUCAUCUCUGGCAUCUCAUGACAGAAAAACCUGAUGUGGUACCCUUAAUUUUUCCAAGGGAGAAGGAUGCCUCAUUGACUUCAGAGGCCAUUCUACGUGUAAUUACCUGGCCCAGUGCUACAGAUGACA
Long non-coding RNA from Neoarius graeffei (lesser salmon catfish), 371 nucleotides. RefSeq lists it as uncharacterized. The record is from RefSeq and is a predicted model, not a curated record. The transcript has 4 exons. Lineage: Eukaryota; Metazoa; Chordata; Actinopteri; Siluriformes; Ariidae.